UAAAGUUUUUAAAGUGUUAAAUUGUGGCUAAUUUAAUUUUGAUUAUUAAUUAAUAUUUCUAGUGUCUAAUUGGGGUUUUUCCCCAAGGUCCCUUAGGGGCCUAGGGCAUUCCCCAAAUUUGACUUCAACUUUUAACGUUGGCGGUUCCAUGUUAUAUCGCCUCAAGCGGGUAAGUGGGGAAUUUUGGUUAUUAGAGUUGGUUAGGGUCUCUUCCUUAUUGCUUGUGGGGGUUUUUUUAAAGGGUGGGGGGAUAUACCUUUGCCAAAAUUCUAUAAAUCACCGGGUUUCUUCGUGGGGGGGGGGUGGGGUCGGAAACUACAAUUUUAUAAAGGAUCCGUCUAGAGGAAAAUUCCUUGCGGUUAGUUGUAAGUUGCGCACUAACGCUUCCCUUAGGCCAAAGUAAGUAGGCCAAUUCUUGCACGGUUCUGGGGCAUAAUGGGAGCUCGAACACCGUCCCCAAUUGGUGGCGGGAGGCAACCGUUAUGCAAUCGUGCCCCAAUGGAUGCAAGUUUGAAGGAGCAACGCCGGUGGAAGUAAGAAUGCUUUCGGGUUCGUAAAACUCCUGUGGUAGAAGAAGAAUGGUCGGCCAGAGUAACUGUGGUCGGCGUGACCGUAUCCAAACAGAAAGGCAUGUUUAAUUACGUGCCAGCAGCCGAGGUAAUAGGUAGGUGGCAAGCGUUAUCCGGAUUUAUUGGGCGUAAAGCGAGCGCAGGCGGUUUUCUAAGUCUGAUGUGAAAGCCCUCGGCUUAACCGAGGAAGCGCAUCGGAAACUGGGAAACUUGAGUGCAGAAGAGGACAGUGGAACUCCAUGUGUAGCGGUGAAAUGCGUAGAUAUAUGGAAGAACACCAGUGGCGAAGGCGGCUGUCUGGUCUGUAACUGACGCUGAGGCUCGAAAGCAUGGGUAGCGAACAGGAUUAGAUACCCUGGUAGUCCAUGCCGUAAACGAUGAAUGCUAGGUGUUGGAGGGUUUCCGCCCUUCAGUGCCGCAGCUAACGCAUUAAGCAUUCCGCCUGGGGAGUACGACCGCAAGGUUGAAACUCAAAGGAAUUGACGGGGGCCCGCACAAGCGGUGGAGCAUGUGGUUUAAUUCGAAGCAACGCGAAGAACCUUACCAGGUCUUGACAUCUUUUGAUCACCUGAGAGAUCAGGUUUCCCCUUCGGGGGCAAAAUGACAGGUGGUGCAUGGUUGUCGUCAGCUCGUGUCGUGAGAUGUUGGGUUAAGUCCCGCAACGAGCGCAACCCUUAUGACUAGUUGCCAGCAUUUAGUUGGGCACUCUAGUAAGACUGCCGGUGACAAACCGGAGGAAGGUGGGGAUGACGUCAAAUCAUCAUGCCCCUUAUGACCUGGGCUACACACGUGCUACAAUGGAUGGUACAACGAGUUGCGAGACCGCGAGGUCAAGCUAAUCUCUUAAAGCCAUUCUCAGUUCGGACUGUAGGCUGCAACUCGCCUACACGAAGUCGGAAUCGCUAGUAAUCGCGGAUCAGCACGCCGCGGUGAAUACGUUCCCGGGCCUUGUACACACCGCCCGUCACACCAUGAGAGUUUGUAACACCCGAAGCCGGUGGCGUAACCCUUUUAGGGAGCGAGCCGUCUAAGGUGGGACAAAUGAUUAGGGUGAAGUCGUAACAAGAGCCAAGCCA
RNAcentral lists this ribosomal RNA (1645 nucleotides) under Lactobacillus sp. RNAcentral describes it as "bacterial SSU rRNA". The stretch from base 349 to 1645 matches the Rfam family "Bacterial small subunit ribosomal RNA". The record is from RNAcentral. Lineage: Bacteria; Bacillati; Bacillota; Bacilli; Lactobacillales; Lactobacillaceae.